CAGUCUGUGUUCAAUGAGCUUAUAGUUUAGGGCCGGGGGAAAGACACCAUAGAAGUAACUCAAUAUAUAUGAAAUUGGAUGGGAUAUUGGUCCAAAGUUGUCUUUAUAUGCAAGUAGUUCACGUGGGUGGAUCAUAGCAUGUGGGGAGGGAAAGGAAAGUGUAAGAAAAUUGGGCAGUCAGGGAGGAAAGUCAGAAGACUCUCCCGGAGUACUAACUUGUGUAGGAAAUUUCCACUUUCCUUGCUGAGGGAAGUUCUGUGACUCAUUGGAACUUCCCUUGUUGACCCAGGACAGAUGGGGAAGCCAUUGAAAGAUGGCUCCGGGACAGGUUGGGGGCGGCCUCUGAUGUGAGAUCCCCUUUGUUUCAGAACAAAAUUAAGUGACAGAAACCUGUAAGGAAGCCAUCUGGUUGGUCUGGAGUGAAGGACAGAGAAGUCUAUGAGAUCACCGUACUUUGUGGUAUUCUGACUUUCUCAUUGCAUCCUCCAGGACAGAAGAGCCGGAGGUAACGCGUGGCGAGCAGACAGGGAGCAAUCGUUCGCCCGGCGUCUGUUCCGCCCUGCCGGGCACAGAGACAAAGGGGACGCCCCUCCCGCCCCGGGGAGGUUCCAUUCUCCCGGGGAAGCCAUCCUCGGUACAGAGAAAACCGUCCAAGGUUAUGGGGGGGGGGGGCGCUCACAGCUGGGGAUUAGGGAAGGGGAUGGAAAUGAAGAGAGGGAGAACAUGGCGUCUUUAAAGGAGUCAGGAAAAGCAGCCCCGGGAGCACCGCGGGCGGGGUGGGCAAAGGGGUGGCCACGGGCAAACGGGGCCUGGACAAGCCCAGGGGUCAGCGUGUGAAUAGUAGCCUGGAGGGGCUGCCAAGGGUUCAAUGCCAACCUGGGCGUGUCUCUUCUCCUAGAGGCAGAAGAGAGCCCGAACCGAGGGUGGGGGGAUCUUCCCCCCCUCUUCUUCCCUCACUUUCAUAAAACACAACAGCAUUUUUUCCCCAAAUACACACAAGAACGGUUUUAAGCGUUUUGUCUUUGAAAAACCUUGUGUUCCAAAGCUUUCUCCCUCUCCUGCCCCUCCCCAAGGCAGCAGCAAGCAAUCAUCUGGACGAAACUGUGCCAUUCUAAUAAAUAUAUUUCCAUAUUCCUUAUGCUGUGCAAGAA
Molecule: long non-coding RNA, 1151 nt
Filed under: Sarcophilus harrisii (Tasmanian devil)
Lineage: Eukaryota; Metazoa; Chordata; Mammalia; Dasyuromorphia; Dasyuridae
Description: lncRNA (ENSSHAG00000021440.1)
Source: RNAcentral